UCCUACGGGAGGCAGCAGUGGGGAAUUUUCCGCAAUGGGCGAAAGCCUGACGGAGCAAUACCGCGUGAGGGAGGAAGGCUCUUGGGUCGUAAACCUCUUUUCUCAGGGAAGAAAAAAAUGACGGUACCUGAGGAAUAAGCAUCGGCUAACUCCGUGCCAGCAGCCGCGGUAAUACGGAGGAUGCAAGCGUUAUCCGGAAUGAUUGGGCGUAAAGCGUCCGCAGGUGGCUAUGUAAGUCUGCUGUUAAAGAGUCUAGCUCAACUAGAUAAAAGCAGUGGAAACUACAUGGCUAGAGUGCGUUCGGGGCAGAGGGAAUUCCUGGUGUAGCGGUGAAAUGCGUAGAGAUCAGGAAGAACACCGGUGGCGAAAGCGCUCUGCUAGGCCGCAACUGACACUGAGGGACGAAAGCUAGGGGAGCGAAUGGGAUUAGAUACCCCAGUAGUCCUAGCCGUAAACGAUGGAUACUAGGCGUGGCUUGUAUCGACCCGAGCCGUGCCGUAGCUAACGCGUUAAGUAUCCCGCCUGGGGAGUACGCCCGCAAGUGUGAAACUCAAAGGAAUUGACGGGG
This 568-nucleotide ribosomal RNA is filed under the name uncultured Gloeotrichia sp. Its description in RNAcentral is "bacterial SSU rRNA". It matches the Rfam family "Bacterial small subunit ribosomal RNA", at positions 337 to 918 of the family's 1533-position model. Lineage: Bacteria; Bacillati; Cyanobacteriota; Cyanophyceae; Nostocales; Gloeotrichiaceae. The record is from RNAcentral.